Molecule: long non-coding RNA, 1565 nt
Filed under: Homo sapiens (human)
Lineage: Eukaryota; Metazoa; Chordata; Mammalia; Primates; Hominidae
Description: HSALNT0371680
Source: RNAcentral
GCUGUUUGAAAGGACUUUAUCGAUCUCUUUAUUAACAUCCUAGCUUCGGUUUGUUGUGUGCUUAUUGUGUGCUGGGCCUGGGCUGAGUGGUUUACAUGUCUUCUCUCCUUUAACACUGCAUUUCCCCAAGGAGGCGGGUGCGGUCUUAUUAUCCCAUCUUAAAGACAGGCCAGUGGCCUGAUUCCAGAGCUCAUGCUUUAACCCCACGUUGCACUUUCUCUCACUGCUAGUGUAGACGGAAGCUCCUUUGGUGCCAGAUUAUAAAGGUAGAAAUUUGUGGAGGACAUCGAGGAGACAGAAGACAUGCUUUAUACAUGUUUCUUUUUAUUUUAAAAAGCUUUGAAAUACAUUUGAAUGAAAAACUAAGCAGUUGCUUAUGCUGUCAGUACCUGUCUCUGCUCUUUAAAAAGUAAGCCACUGCCUCUUACCUAAAGGUCAGCAUGGGCUCCAUCAUACAGCGGUCAGGUCCAUCAUACGGCGGUCAGGUCCAUCAUACAGCGGUCAGGUCCAUCAUACGGCGGUCAGGUCCAUCAUACGGCGGUCAGGUCCAUCAUACGGCGGUCAGGUCUGUAACUCUUGACAGGAAGGUGCAGUAGCAGAAUGGCGAGAUGCACUGAGGGUAACCAGAUGAUCUCAUGGGACUUACCCAGUGUUAGCACCAAAGUCCCAUGAACUGAGGUGUUAAAACAGAAAGGCCUGUGUCCUCAGAACCCCUCCAAGUCACUGGCCAACUAUGACUCAUGUUUGGUGAUGUUGGAUGCCAGUUAAUAAAGUCCAGAACUUAAGCCCAAGAAGAGAGCUCAGAAGUGUUUGUGUUACUCUUUAUUGAGGAAUAAUUUACAGAUAGUAAAAUUUACCCCUUAUAUCUGUACAGUUUUGUGAAUUAUGACAAACUUACUCAGGUUGUGUAACCACCAGUGCAGUCAAGGCAUAGAUUAUUUCCAUCCUUCCAGAGAAGUCUCUGGGACCUUUUGUAGUCAGUCCCCUCAUGGAAUGUUUUGAUCAACGUAGAAAUGCCUGGAGGCUGCUGGGUGGGAGGCUGAUCACUCAGCCAUCAGAGCGUCCUGUGUCUCUGAGCCGUGCACCCCAUUGUGGCAUGGCACUGGUUGCUGGACAUUCUUCUGCGGGCCCACUCACACAUCUGCCUGCCUGCGGCCUGUCUGUGUUUGUCUUACUCAUGCUCUUGGAGCCGUAGCGAAUGUGUCUAAUAUUCCUUCCACGUGGUAGAUUGAAACUUCACCAAAAUAGCCCUGUGCGCCUACUUUGCUCCUGAACAUCUCUGAUUUCUCCGGCUGUCCCUGUGUGGAGUUCUGGCAGAUCUCACCAGUCUACAUGACCUAUUGGAAAUGCCAGUGGGUCAUUGUGGCAUUCAGACACAUAAUUCAAAACUGCAAAUGGUGGGACCGCACUAAAGAAUUUUUAGUAAUUAAAGUACAGGAGGCUGAGGUGGGAGGAUCACUUCAGCCCAGGAGGUCAGGUCAAGGCUUCAGUGAGCCAUGGUUGCACCACUACACUGUAGCCUGGGUGACAAAGUGAGACCCUGUCUCAAAAAAAAAAAAAAAAAA